CGUAGGGUCCGAGCGUUGUCCGGAAUUAUUGGGCGUAAGGGCUCGUAGGCGGUUCGUCACGUCGGGGAGUGAAAACUCGGAGCUUAACUCCGAGCCUGCUUCCGAUACGGGCAGACUAGAGGUAGGCAGGGGAGAGCGGAACUCCUGGUGUAGCGGUGGAAUGCGCAGAUAUCAGGAAGAACACCGGUGGCGAAGGCAGCACUCUGGGCCGGCACUGACGCUGAGGAGCGAAAGCGUGGGGAGCGAACAGG
This 251-nucleotide ribosomal RNA is filed under the name uncultured bacterium. Its description in RNAcentral is "partial 16S ribosomal RNA". It matches the Rfam family "Bacterial small subunit ribosomal RNA", at positions 526 to 776 of the family's 1533-position model. The record is from RNAcentral.